AUCUGAGCCACCGUCAGGUAUGUUCUCAGUGUGCCACCAAGGAAUAAUUGUUGUGAACCUGGCAGGAAUCAGGUGACAGAAGCUUCUGUGGCUCUUGUGUUCCAGGUGUGUCUGCAGGGAGGACUUGUCCAGCUGCUUUGCUGAUUCCUACACAAAAGCCCAGCUCCCAUGGCAGAGGUCCUCCGAGGGGAAAGAACAAAUCUACAGGACACCAGAAACACCAUGAGCCAUCCAAAAACAUGAGGCAAAUGCUGAAAGAAUUGCUGCAGGGAGGACAAGAAGUGGAUGCAGAGGCUGGGCAGAAGGCGGUGUUUCCUGAAGGAAGCAGUGGUUCCAUGCCAGCAUCUGCUGUAGGACUGGAGGUGAUGCCAGGCACAGUCACAGGAGGU
Molecule: long non-coding RNA, 389 nt
Organism: Passer domesticus (house sparrow)
Lineage: Eukaryota; Metazoa; Chordata; Aves; Passeriformes; Passeridae
Exons: 3
Source: RefSeq, a predicted model, not a curated record